UACGAAGGGGGCUAGCGUUGCUCGGAAUCACUGGGCGUAAAGGGUGCGUAGGCGGGUCUUUAAGUCAGGGGUGAAAUCCUGGAGCUCAACUCCAGAACUGCCUUUGAUACUGAGGAUCUUGAGUACGGGAGAGGUGAGUGGAACUGCGAGUGUAGAGGUGAAAUUCGUAGAUAUUCGGAAGAACACCAGUGGCGAAGGCGGCUCACUGGACCGGCAUUGACGCUGAUGUGCGAAAGCGUGGGGAGCAAACAGG
Molecule: ribosomal RNA, 253 nt
Filed under: uncultured bacterium
Lineage: Bacteria
Description: partial 16S ribosomal RNA
Rfam family: Bacterial small subunit ribosomal RNA
Source: RNAcentral